UACGUAGGUGGCAAGCGUUGUCCGGAAUUAUUGGGCGUAAAGCGCGCGCAGGUGGUCCUUUAAGUCUGAUGUGAAAUCUUAUGGCUCAACCAUAAGCGGUCAUUGGAAACUGGGGGGCUUGAGUACAGAAGAGGAAAGCGGAAUUCCACGUGUAGCGGUGAAAUGCGUAGAGAUGUGGAGGAACACCAGUGGCGAAGGCGGCUUUCUGGUCUGUAACUGACGCUGAGGCGCGAAAGCGUGGGGAGCAAACAGGAUUGAGAU
RNAcentral lists this ribosomal RNA (261 nucleotides) under uncultured bacterium. RNAcentral describes it as "partial 16S ribosomal RNA". It matches the Rfam family "Bacterial small subunit ribosomal RNA", at positions 524 to 783 of the family's 1533-position model. The record is from RNAcentral.